GGCCGGGCGGGCCGGUCACACAGGCUCUUGGCAUUGCUAAGAGGAAAAGCUCUCUUGGGAGCCCCGCGCGGCUGGGACGGUGGUCGGGGGCGCGUGUCCUGCGUGUGUGCACCUUUCUCCAGAGCUGCUCCUCGCGGUGGCUGGGCCCGGCAGCCUGGCCUGAAGAGUUAGGCCGGGCUGUUCUCAUGGUCGACCACAACUGGCGGGAAGAGAGUAGCGGACGUGCUGUGUGAUCCGAGCCCCUCAGAUCCCUGGGUUUCGGGAAACCUGCUUGUCUGGAACUGUGGACAAACAUCAGGGCAGCCAGGAAAGGACGCGAUCCCAACGGACUUGCACGUGAGGGUCAGACUUGCCGUCAGGAGGCGGGGCGAGCGCGGUCGGCUGCUGCUUGCGUGUCUACCCCCUCACUGGGCAUGAGUUGGCUCGUUUGGAAGGCAGACAGACCACUUGUUUCCAACACCUUAAAUGGUCUGGUCGUGGAUCUUCGUGUCACGGGGGAGAUUUUACUGUAUUUUUUAUUUUUGAAAGAUUUUAUUUAUCUGAGAGAGAGAGAGAGAGGGAGCUUAGGCUGGGAAGUUUGCCUCUGUAGUGGCUUGAAGCGAGGCUGGGGAGCGACAGCUUUGGCGGGUCCGUCCCGACGUCGCUGCCCCGCCCCCGCGUCCCGCGGCUGGGAGAAAGCAGGUCUGUCUUCUAGAAAGACUCCACAGUCCACUCAUUCCCACCAGCAGCCGCGGCUCGGGGAGGAACUUGUCUCGCACAGGAGGAGGGAGCGGUACGAUCAUAAACUUGGAAUUCGCCAUCCCACACGUCAGAGGGCUUGGAAGGGAAUUCGUGGGCCACACAAAAUCUAAUCUCCAGGCAUCCGGCAGGAGCCGUAACUCGCUACGGCUGGGGCUCCGCGGCCCUUCGCAGACCCAGGCAUUCGCGGUAUGGGGUUUGUGCAAUAGAAGCCUUAAAUCAGUCCCUCUGUGCACUGAGAAGAUAGAAGGAUAUGCCCAGGGUCAUCCUUGCAGGGGGGAGGAGGAGGAGGAGGAAGGGACACACACAGUGUUUGGCUUCCAUCUGUAGCAGAUCGUAGCCCCGUUUUUUGAAGAGCCCCCUAGGUUUUUUACGAGCACUGGGUGUUUCUAGCCACUGAUUCCAGUAGAAGUCGUAUGUGAACCCGGGUCCGUGCACACUGACCACAGUGCGUAGCCAGGCCCACAGCGAAGCGAAACCAAACUGCAAGUGGGGAUGCUGUGUGUCCCCACGGCCCCAUUUAAAAGGUCUCCUUUGGGGGCCCCUGGGAGGCUCAGACAGUAAAACGUCUGCCUUCGGCUCAGGUCACGGGGUCAGGGGCCUGGGACCGAACCCGCACUGGGCUCCCUGCUCAGCACGGAGCUGCUUCUCCUUCCCCCGGCUCCCUGCUCGUUUUCUCUCUGUCUCUCUCGGGACUCCCCGUGAUGGGAUGUGAGCACAGAAAGACGAUCGCCGCUUCGGCCCAUGGGCACAGGAGAGGCCGCAGGCCGGCCGCCCAGAGCUGCCCUCUAGGGACAAGGUCAGCCCAGUUUUAGAUUUGUAGCAAAAUGGAGCCGAAGGAAGAGAGCUAGCCCGCGUGCCCGCUCCCCGACCCAGGCACCGCCGCCCCCGCCGUCAGCACCCCGGCCCGAGGGCAGCCCUGCAUGGAUGUCGGGUGAUGUCAUCGCCCGAAGGCCAGAGCUUACCGCGGGACUUACUCUGGGCGUUGGGCACGUUACGCUUCCGACAAACGUUUGCUGACAUUUGUUUAUUCUAGAGAAAGAGAGUGUGAGCGUGACAGGGGAGAGAGGAUCCGAAGCGGUCUCUACGCCCAGCACAGAGCCCGACGCAGGGCUCGAGCUCAUGACCCCGGGAUCAGGACUUGAGCCGAAGCCAAGAGUCAGCAGCUCAACGGCCCGAGCCGGCCCCGCGUCCCAGAGCUCUUGACCGUCUCCCUCGAUGUCUCUUCUCCAGGAUGUCACAGAGUCGGAACCACUGGGGAGACUUUCAGGACUGGCUUCUCUCGCCUGGUAAUAGACCCUUGAGCUCCUCUGUGUCUUUUCACGGCCGGAGAGCUCAUUCCGUUCCCGCACGGAACCGCAUUCUCCUGUCUGGGCGGACCGCCGUUGGCUCUUCCGUUCACCCGGGGAAGGACGUCCUGGCUGCUCCCAGGCCUUGGCAGUGGUGAAGCACGCGGCCGUCCACACCCGUGUGUGGGCUUCCAGGUGCACAUCGGAGCUCGGCCCCUCUGCAUGAGCAUCAGCAGCCUGACCUGCCGGGCCCCAGGGGAGGAGGGCGUUUAAAUUUGAGAAAUUGCCAGACGGUCGUCCACAGUGUGGCGGGCGGUCCUCCCGCCUUCCCCGGCACAACCACCCCUGCCAGCACGGGUGGGGUGAGUGUCGCAGGUUGUGGCCUUUCUAAUGGGCGUGCGGUGUGAUUCCCCUUGUGGUUUUACGGAAUUGGCUUUUAGGGGAUGCGGUGACAUGGAGAG
This is a long non-coding RNA of Mustela erminea (ermine), 2488 nucleotides long. RefSeq lists it as uncharacterized. The record is from RefSeq and is a predicted model, not a curated record. Lineage: Eukaryota; Metazoa; Chordata; Mammalia; Carnivora; Mustelidae. The transcript is spliced from 3 exons.